UUAGGAAUAUUCGUCAAUGGGGGAAACCCUGAACGAGCAAUGCCGCGUGAACGAUGAAGGCCCUAUGGGUUGUAAAGUUCUGUUGCAUGGGACGAACGAUUAGGAUAGGAAAUGAUCUUAAUGUGACGGUACCAUGCCAGAAAGCUCCGGCUAACUACGUGCCAGCAGCCGCGGUAAUACGUAGGGAGCAAGCGUUAUCCGGAUUUAUUGGGCGUAAAGGGUGCGUAGGCGGCUUGUUAAGUAUGAGAUUAAAGCCCGAGGCUUAACCUCGGUUCGUUUCAUAAACUGGCAGGCUUGAGUGUGGCAGAGGUAAACGGAAUUUCUAGUGUAGCGGUUAAAUGCGUAGAUAUUAGAAGGAACACCAGUGGCGAAGGCGGUUUACUGGGCCAUAACUGACGCUGAGGCACGAAAGCGUGGGGAGCAAAUA
This 427-nucleotide ribosomal RNA is filed under the name uncultured bacterium. Its description in RNAcentral is "bacterial SSU rRNA". It matches the Rfam family "Bacterial small subunit ribosomal RNA", at positions 355 to 774 of the family's 1533-position model. The record is from RNAcentral.